GUAGCUCAGUGGGAGAGCGCUUCCUUGACGCGGAAGAGGUCGGCGGUUCAAUCCCGCCC
Molecule: transfer RNA, 59 nt
Filed under: Deltaproteobacteria bacterium
Lineage: Bacteria; Pseudomonadati; Myxococcota; Myxococcia
Description: tRNA-Val
Rfam family: tRNA
About the family: Transfer RNA (tRNA) molecules are approximately 80 nucleotides in length.
Source: RNAcentral